AUACGGAAGGUCCGGGCGUUAUCCGGAUUUAUUGGGUUUAAAGGGAGCGCAGGCGGCCUUUUAAGCGUGACGUGAAAUGUAGGCGCUCAACGUCUGAAUUGCGUCGCGAACUGUUAGGCUUGAGUAGACGGAAUGUCGGCGGAAUUCGUGGUGUAGCGGUGAAAUGCUUAGAUAUCACGAAGAACUCCGAUUGCGAAGGCAGCUGACAGCAGUUUUACUGACGCUCAUGCUCGAAAGUGCGGGUAUCGAACAGGAUUAGAUACCCUGGUAGUCCGCACGGUAAACGAUGGAUGCCCGCUGUUUGCUUUUUUGGUAAGCGGCCAAGCGAAAGCAUUAAGCAUCCCACCUGGGGAGUACGCCGGCAACGGUGAAACUCAAAUGAAUUGACGGGG
Molecule: ribosomal RNA, 392 nt
Filed under: uncultured bacterium
Lineage: Bacteria
Description: partial 16S ribosomal RNA
Rfam family: Bacterial small subunit ribosomal RNA
Source: RNAcentral